Molecule: ribosomal RNA, 402 nt
Filed under: uncultured bacterium
Lineage: Bacteria
Description: bacterial SSU rRNA
Rfam family: Bacterial small subunit ribosomal RNA
Source: RNAcentral
AGGGAUAUUGCACAAUGGGGGAAACCCUGAUGCAGCGACGCCGCGUGAGUGAAGAAGUAUUUCGGUAUGUAAAGCUCUAUCAGCAGGGAAGAAGAUGACAGUACCUGAGUAAGAAGCCCCGGCUAACUACGUGCCAGCAGCCGCGGUAAUACGUAGGGGGCAAGCGUUAUCCGGAUUUACUGGGUGUAAAGGGAGCGUAGACGGUUAUGCAAGUCUGGAGUGAAAGCCCGGGGCUCAACCCCGGGACUGCUUUGGAAACUGUAUGGCUGGAGUGCAGGGGAGGUAAGUGGAAUUCCUAGUGUAGCGGUGAAAUGCGUAGAUAUUAGGAGGAACACCAGUGGCGAAGGCGGCUUACUGGACUGUAACUGACGUUGAGGCUCGAAAGCGUGGGGAGCAAACAGG